GUAACACGUAGGUAACGUACCCUUGGUGAGGAACAACCAGGGAAACCUGGGACUAAUGGCCACCUAUGUCCUUCGGGAUGAAAGUCGAAAGACGCCAGGGGGAUCGGCCUGCGGCCCAUUAUCUAAUCCUAGUUGGUAGGGUAACGGCCUACCAAGGGUACGAUGGGUAGCUGGUCUGAGAGGAUGAUCAGCCACACUGGGACCGAGACACGGCCCAGACUCCUACGGGAGGCAGCAGUGGGGAAUAUUGCGCAAUGGGCGAAAGCCUGACGCAGCCAUGCCGCGUGAGUGAUGAAGGCCUUCGGGUCGUAAAGCUCUGUCGGGAGGGACGAAGGGUGGCAACACUCUGACGGUACCUCGCAAGAAAGCACCGGCUAACUCCGUG
RNAcentral lists this ribosomal RNA (385 nucleotides) under uncultured bacterium. Its description in RNAcentral is "bacterial SSU rRNA". It matches the Rfam family "Bacterial small subunit ribosomal RNA", at positions 110 to 507 of the family's 1533-position model. The record is from RNAcentral.